UUUAAAUCCUUUAACGGGAACAGUUUUUUCCCGGUCUGUAGGGGAAAACAGUUAUAUCUGCAGAAGCAAACGUAAGAAGCUAAAGGUUGAUGGAGGGGUAAUUGCAUUAUGAAAAAUGUAUGCUGAAAGAACUGCUGGGAUUUCUCUUACUGAUCUUCGCUCAUUAGGGAUUUCUCUCACUACUCUUCUGUACAGAAGCUAAGGACCUUUCCGAGGGAAAUCCACCAGGAUUCACCUUUCUGACUGCAACUGCCAGGAUGUAGCUAGAUGGAAGGGAAAGGCUUUGAUUUUGAGUUUGUUUAUUGGAGUAGGAAGAUAAAGCUUGGAUAGGUAUCAAUUUAUAAGUAAGCAAAAUGGUCAUUGCUCCUUGCCUCUGCUAGGAAGGCUAUGAUUCUUGAGAUAUUUUGUUUCACUGAUACAGACAUUUAGAGAUCAUAAUGAUGAAUUUGUUAAAUUGAGAUCAUCACAAUCCAAAUAAUGUUUUCUUUAUUUUUUGUCUGGUUUUGUGUGAGAGCAAAUUUCAUUAUAUUGGAAGGAAUAUCGAGGAAACUGAAAAAAUAGCCUCGGAGAUGUGUACUAGAGAAUUGGGGAUUAGAUGAUCUCCAUCUUUAGAAUUGUUGUGACUGUCCCUUACAUAUGUAAAAUCAAUAAAGAAAAAUAUUCUGAUUCCAAAAUGCUGCAAUUCAUCAUUUUUCCCUUCCUAGUAGACUUUGAAGGUAUUGAAUUUGAUUAGCCUGCUAAUGCAGAAAAAUAUUUCUGGAGUCCUAGGAAAAAAAAGCUUCCAUUUUUCCUUUUUUCUCUUCACUAAAUGCGUUUGUAAUGUCCUGGUAGGCUGAGCUUUGACCACCAGGGAGCAGCAGAGAGCUGCUUCCAGUUUCAAAUGUUUUAUAUCGAUUUAGUUUUUUUCUCAUAUCUUCUAUUUUGCUUGGAAAAGAGUUGUCACUUAUAAAGAGCAUUCUUUAGAACAGUGUGUGCUCAGAUUUGUGCACAGUAUUCCUACUGAAUCCAAUAUGACUGUCAGUGUCACUUAAUUAUUAAUGCUGUGCUUCUGCAUGCAGUGCAGAUGUUUGUGUUUUGUGCACAGGAGACAUUAACGUGAAGGUACUGCUAUCUGCAGAGAAAUGGUGCAUAUCACUGCAAAAUGUGUUCUGUCCCACAGGGAAAUGAGGAUUAAUAACCAAAGGAGUUUGAUUAUUUUGCUUCUAAUUUUAUUGUUUACAUCAUUACCAGAGCCCUUGUGUAAAAAGUUUCCUACAUUACAUUCAAAGAAAUUAACUUGGUUUUUGUGAUAAAUAAGGAACGUGUUAAUAAAUCACUGAAUUUUAGAACAGGAUUUGUAAUUAUUUAUUGACAUUUAGUUAUUUCUCUUCUGGUUCCAAUUACCUGUUAUUUGCUUCUUAUGGGAAAAUUAUUUAAUAAGCACAGUUUGUGUGUUCUUGGGAUUUACCCGAGAAAAGCAGGAGCAGGAGGGCUUGUCCUAGCACUGUCUGAAACCUUCUUCAAGGCAGCAAGUUGUCUUUUGGUGGAGGCAAAAAAGAAGAGUAUAAAUCUUAAAAGAAGGCUGGUCUUUGGUGCAUGCAGUGCCUGAAACUUGGCUGAGGCUGUGGAAAUGCCAAAUACAACUCAUUAUUGAGAAUUGCCCUCUGAAAGUAAAGCAGUGGGUGCAGCAAGCUAACCAGGGGUUGUACUUGCUCUCUUACACUACUGCUCCUGCAGUAGAAUGUGAACAUUCAUCAAAAUACUAGCAGCCUUAAAUUAAGAGUCUGAAAAUUAAAAAAAAAAAAAAAAAAUUAGAAAAAUGAAAA
Gallus gallus (chicken) is the source of this 1805-nucleotide long non-coding RNA. RefSeq lists it as uncharacterized. Lineage: Eukaryota; Metazoa; Chordata; Aves; Galliformes; Phasianidae. The transcript is spliced from 2 exons. The record is from RefSeq and is a predicted model, not a curated record.